GGGCGGCCUUCCCCCAGACCCUGCCUCAACCAGCAGCCCCUGCGCAGCUCCAGCCACUCCUAGAAUCUAGGCCUGCUGGUCUGGUCACCUUGCUGAGCUCACCACCCUGCGCCCACCCCAAGUGCCCCCAGCUGGUCUCCUCCCUGUGCGAACCCUGUCUGCUUUUCCUGGCCAUUGCUCUCUCUGAGGCCGUCUUCGGGAGGGAGGGUCAUGCAGCAGGAGGAACCGAGCCUAGAGUGCUUGGGGAGGCGGAGGUGGGGAACAGCGCUACAUCCCAGGGGCCUCCUGUUUUUGUGAAUCUUUUUUUCCAGGGGGCCUUGACAGCAUUUGAGGGCCAGGAGGUAUUCAUCCUUGGCCACCGUGACAGGCUGAUGCUGGGUGGCCCAGAGUGAGUUGGAGGAGGAAAUGCCCAAGGGCCCGUCUCUGGAGUCACUGUUUGCCAUUCCCCUGAGCCAUAGGCAUCCUGAGAUGGUUCCAGUGGCGGACAGGCAUGAGGUGGCCACAGCCAGGCGGCCUGAGCUCUGCUCCCUUUCUGGCCAUGCUCGGGCAGCAGGCUCCUGGAAGAAAAGCCCAGCUUGGGGUGUGUGCUGUCGUCUGUGGCCCGAGCGCCCCACCACUGCUGGUUUCCAGGUGCCAGUGCCCGGCCCUGACUGCGGAGUUGGGAUGAGCCAUGCACGAUCUGCUUGCCAAGCCAUUAUGCCCCAGGCCCAGCAGCCCCCAGCCCCAACCCCGUGCCUUCCUGGGUCUCCAGAGAGGCAGGAAAGCCUGGGGAGAAGGCCACAGCCCCAGUCAGGCUGCCUGGGCCGGAAUCCCGGCUCUGCCUCCGGCGGGGCGAGCUUGGGCCGUGCCCUGGGCUUGGCCUUUAGUUCCUCCCUGUAAAGUGAGGAAAAUGAGGCUCAGGUAAGCACGAUGGGUUCCUCUCUCGGGAGCAGCGUCUGGGAGGCCAGGCCCCUGGGGUCAGUGGCUGGGACAGCAGCGAGGGCCCAGAACAGGGAGCAGAGCCCAGGAUGGGGCAGGCGGGAGCCGCUCCGAGGCCAGGUCGCCAGGGCUGAGUUAACACAAAUGUGAGUCCCUAUCUCUGCUGGCUUGUGUGGUGCGGUCCUCAGAUGUGAGUUGGCUGUGACUGUCACCACUGUCUUUGGGGGCCGAAAAUUCACGGGGACAUUUCCCAGAUACCAGGGCCGCAUCUUAAGGUUCUGACGCUUUUGGAAAAGCCCACACACGCACCGGUGGCUCCUGCGGACACAAACUUCCGCGCCUGCCCAUGUCCCCUCCCAGAAGCGAACCCCUUGAGGGUUCCGCCAAGGGACAGUCAGCCUCCUUGUGAAUGAGCAGGUCCGGGAAGGGCGGGGAGGAGGGCACCUUGCUCCUGCUCAUCGACCUGUUCAACCUCCUGGGCGAAAGGGUUUUGGUUUUUGUUUUUGUUUUUUAAAUCAACAGGGUGAUGUCCCGUCGGGGACAGUGUCUCCCAGGUGGCUGACUCCAGGCGGGUGUCUGUGGCCGCAUCGGCCCCACCUCCUGGACACACCUCUGCUGGCCAAGGGUGACAUAACCCUGUUCCCUGUCACUCUGUUCCCGCUUAUCUCUCCCGCCUUUUGGGCGCCACCACCUUCUUGGAAAUGAGUUGGGCCAAAGGGGAGGGGGCUUAGCAUCCCCGCCUCCCCCAGGAGGCUCCAUAAAAGCAACUGUAACUGGACUCCCGGACACCAGAGCGAGUCCUAGAGCUAACAAGCAGGACAGCUGGACGGACAGACAGCACCAUGGCGCUGAGCGUGCAGAUCCGGGCCGCCUGCCUCCUGCUCCUCCUCCUCGUCAGCCUGACCGCCGGCUCCGUUCUCCCAUCCCAGACAAGACAGCUCACAGACCUCCGGACCCAGGACACAGCAGGAGCCACCGCUGGUUUGACGCCCGUGGCCCAGAGGCUAAGAAGAGACACCCACUUCCCCAUCUGCAUCUUCUGCUGCGGCUGCUGUCGCAAAGCAAUCUGUGGGAUGUGCUGCAAGACGUAGAGCUGCCCACCCUGCCCCAGCCCCUGCGUCACCCCUUAUUUAUUCCGGCUGCCUCCAACCCUGAAUGGUCUUGGAAUAAAAUAGCUUUUCUUUUCCAAA
Molecule: long non-coding RNA, 2108 nt
Filed under: Sus scrofa (pig)
Lineage: Eukaryota; Metazoa; Chordata; Mammalia; Artiodactyla; Suidae
Description: lncRNA (ENSSSCG00060055278.1)
Source: RNAcentral